Long non-coding RNA from Melitaea cinxia (Glanville fritillary), 594 nucleotides. RefSeq lists it as uncharacterized. The record is from RefSeq and is a predicted model, not a curated record. Lineage: Eukaryota; Metazoa; Arthropoda; Insecta; Lepidoptera; Nymphalidae. The transcript is spliced from 2 exons.
ACACUCGUGUUUUAAUACCCUUCAUUAUAUGACAGUUGCAUAAACUACUAUUCUUUUCGGUAUUCGGUAAGUUGCUAUUACUGGGUUAUUGUGGUGAAUAAUUUGCAGUAAUUUUUAAUUUCCUUUAAACGCUAAUGCCAUAUUUAUGUCGUGUAUAAUCGUACGAAUUAAUCGUAAAACAUUAAACAGGAAUAGCAAAUAACAAAAUUUUUAGAAAGAAAAUCGGUUAUUAAAUGUUUGGUAACAUUAGCACAACUACUAUUCGUUUCAAAUUCGAACAUGUCGAUACCUGAAGGUAUUCAACAUUAUUGUGCUUACUUCACCAUCCGAUAAUUUGUAAUAUACAUUUCUCUCUUUCUUUUUAUGGUAUUCUGAUUAUUAUAAAUGUAUUUAUGUUUAAGUGUGAAUGAAGAUUGUAUAGGAUACUGUUGUUUACCACUUGAAUUAGUAUUUUAAGAUGGAAUCGAGAAAACCUAGAGAAUUAAAAAAUUCUCGUGUAAAACGAAUGCUGUUCUUGGUGAACAAAUUAGAUGACUUUGAGAGUGAAGACGUAGAAUCAAAUAAAUACAUGAAUACUUCAAAAACAAAAAAAAA